AGAUUGAACGCUGGCGGCAUGCCUAACACAUGCAAGUCGAACGGGAGUAGCAAUACUCUAGUGGCGGACGGGUGAGGAAUACGUAGGAAUUUGCCCUUAAGUGGGGGAUAACCCGGGGAAACCCGGAUUAAUACCGCAUGACCUCGAAAGAGCAAAGUGGGGGAUCGCAAGACCUCACGCUUUUGGAGAAGCCUACGUCGGAUUAGCUAGUUGGUGAGGUAAUGGCUCACCAAGGCGACGAUCCGUAACUGGUCUGAGAGGAUGAUCAGUCACACCGGAACUGAGACACGGUCCGGACUCCUACGGGAGCAGCAGUGGGGAAUAUUGGACAAUGGG
Molecule: ribosomal RNA, 336 nt
Filed under: uncultured soil bacterium
Lineage: Bacteria
Description: bacterial SSU rRNA
Rfam family: Bacterial small subunit ribosomal RNA
Source: RNAcentral